GCAGUGGGGAAUUUUGGACAAUGGGCGCAAGCCUGAUCCAGCCAUACCGCGUGAGUGAAGAAGGCCUUCGGGUUGUAAAGCUCUUUCAGCCGGAAAGAAAUUGCUUCUAUUAAUACUAGGAGUAGAUGACGGUACCGGAAGAAGAAGCACCGGCUAACUACGUGCCAGCAGCCGCGGUAAUACGUAGGGUGCGAGCGUUAAUCGGAAUUACUGGGCGUAAAGCGUGCGCAGGCGGUUUGGUAAGACAGACGUGAAAUCCCCGGGCUUAACCUGGGAACUGCGUUUGUGACUGCCAGACUAGAGUGUAGCAGAGGGGGGUAGAAUUCCACGUGUAGCAGUGAAAUGCGUAGAUAUGUGGAGGAAUACCGAUGGCGAAGGCAGCCCCCUGGGCUAACACUGACGCUCAUGCACGAAAGCGUGGGGAGCAAACAGGAUUAGAUACCCUGGUAGUCCACGCCCUAAACGAUGUCAACUAGGUGUUGGGGAAGGAGACUUCUUUAGUACCGCAGCUAACGCGUGAAGUUGACCGCCU
Molecule: ribosomal RNA, 532 nt
Filed under: uncultured beta proteobacterium
Lineage: Bacteria; Pseudomonadati; Pseudomonadota; Betaproteobacteria
Description: bacterial SSU rRNA
Rfam family: Bacterial small subunit ribosomal RNA
Source: RNAcentral